RNAcentral lists this non-coding RNA (166 nucleotides) under Parageobacillus caldoxylosilyticus. Its description in RNAcentral is "Geobacillus caldoxylosilyticus SAM-I sequence". It matches the Rfam family "SAM riboswitch aptamer (S box leader)". From Rfam's summary of the family: The SAM riboswitch is found upstream of a number of genes which code for proteins involved in methionine or cysteine biosynthesis in Gram-positive bacteria. Lineage: Bacteria; Bacillati; Bacillota; Bacilli; Caryophanales; Anoxybacillaceae. The record is from RNAcentral. RNAcentral also lists the same sequence under 1 other name.
CUCUUAUCAAGAGUUGGCUGAGGGAAUUGGCCCAAUGAAGCCCAGCAACCGACCGUAAUACUAUCGUGAGAUAGGGCGCACGUUUUUUCGGCGCCGGAAGUUCCACCUUCCGCAGGGCACGGUGCUAAGUCCAACAGAAAGACUCGUUCUUUCUGGAAGAUAAGAG